UAAAUAAUCAAAAUAUACAUCAAAUAAUUGUCAGUCAUUUAAAACCCGCAUAUAUCCUCACUAAACUAAUAUAUCCAUCAAGCUCGUAUAUUCACUUAAACCACAUCAUAUCAUUGCGAAUAGUUACUCUUUUCAGCGCACUAAAUGUAAUCCUUCACUCUACAAAUGUUCGCUCUCCGGCCUUAACGUAAUGGUAUUCCCGGC
This 204-nucleotide long non-coding RNA is filed under the name Mytilus galloprovincialis (Mediterranean mussel). Lineage: Eukaryota; Metazoa; Mollusca; Bivalvia; Mytilida; Mytilidae. The record is from RNAcentral.